Chrysemys picta bellii (western painted turtle) is the source of this 575-nucleotide non-coding RNA. The record is from RefSeq and is a predicted model, not a curated record. Lineage: Eukaryota; Metazoa; Chordata; Testudines; Emydidae.
GCUUAGAAAGAAUAAUAAUUCAAAAGGCUCCCAUUCUAUGUGCUGCUCACAUGGGGCUGGGCGCGAGUCACACGCCAGAGCACUUUGAACUUGCUGGCUGCUGCUCUGACUCCAUUGAGCCUCCCAAGCACUCUGAAGUGCGGGAUCAGGGCUUGGGCCUUAUUGGCACGGCGACUGGGGGAAGGCAGGAAUAGCGAGGCCACGUUUCCUCGCUAAGCAAAACUUCCUCCCCUCCCCCGUACUAAGCCUACGCCGGGGCCACUGCGAACAGGGACUCACGUUCUGCGCUCACCCGCUAUUCGCUACGAGAUGUCACUUAACUUGGAUACUGAAGAUGACUUCUAUCUGGAAGAAAAUAGAUUCAAGCAGUGUUGUGCAGAGUUCAUUAAACAUUCACAGCAAAUAGGAGAUGGUUGGGAGUGGAAAAGUAUAAAGGACUUUCCUGAUGGCUAUAUGAGUAAAACACACUUCCAAAUGAAAAAUGGAAAUAUCCCAUCAAUUUUCAAGGACAGCACUAAGGAAAGUGAUGAGCAAACAUUGACACAUGUUGAGGUAAAUACAGCUUUCUCUAUUGA